CAGUCGCCGCGGUAAUACGAAGGGUGCAAGCGUUACUCGGAAUUACUGGGCGUAAAGCGUGCGUAGGUGGUGGUUUAAGUCCGUUGUGAAAGCCCUGGGCUCAACCUGGGAAUUGCAGUGGAUACUGGGUCACUAGAGUGUGGUAGAGGAUAGUGGAAUUUCCGGUGUAGCAGUGAAAUGCGUAGAGAUCGGAAGGAACAUCUGUGGCGAAGGCGACUAUCUGGGCCAACACUGACACUGAGGCACGAAAGCGUGGGGAGCAAACAGGAUUAGAUACCCCUGUAGUCCCUGUCUCUUAUAC
RNAcentral lists this ribosomal RNA (301 nucleotides) under uncultured bacterium. Its description in RNAcentral is "partial 16S ribosomal RNA". It matches the Rfam family "Bacterial small subunit ribosomal RNA", at positions 509 to 807 of the family's 1533-position model. The record is from RNAcentral.